AUGAACACAGACUCGGAGACCAUCAAGACCGCGUGCAAAGAUAUUCUGCAGAAAAAUUCAAAGAACAGACGCCAUCAGAUCAAGAAGAAGUAUUUUGAUACCGUAGCCGCAAACAAAGUCAGCAUCAAGUCUCCGGUGCCAGAUCUGACGGACGGUGAAUGGCAAGCUCUGGUGGAGAUGUGGUCUACCACAAGACACAAGGAAACCUGUGUGUCGAACAAGAUGAAUCGAGAAAAAGUCGUGUACAAUCAGAGAACUGGUUCCAGGCACUACAUAGCACACAUUUUUGCCAUUAAAGAAGAGCGUAACGGUGAGCAGCUGUCUGCGAUUGACUUGUUUAAGGCCACCCACAACAGCAAGAAGCACGGGUUUUAG
Molecule: ribosomal RNA, 375 nt
Filed under: Triticum aestivum (bread wheat)
Lineage: Eukaryota; Viridiplantae; Streptophyta; Magnoliopsida; Poales; Poaceae
Description: partial small subunit ribosomal RNA
Source: RNAcentral